CCUUUGUUGCCCUGUGCUCACGGCUUAGGCAAAUUGUAAGUUCUAGUCGGGCUGCCAUCAAACAGCAGGCAAGCGUUCCAGCCAGAGCCAUUAGCCGAAGGGACUCCGAACAGAAAGCAUCGUUCAAGCUAGACUGUCUUCGGACGGUCUUCUUCGCCGUGGACGUACGACAGGGGAGGAAACUACGUGAUGCAUACGUCAAAAUCACGUAAGCCAGCUUUCCAAGUAAAGAACUUUCCAGCGUCUUCGGAGAUGCUUCCCCGACAGCUAGUUCUUUAUUCAGAGAGAAACAGGUCGCCAACUCCAGCCGUGGUGUCCCGCACACCGUGAUCAGCCACGAGAUUUGACCCCGAUGAACCUGGGAGGGGCAAUACUAUUUUGUGUGCAAAACUUGAGUCUGGAUGGAUAACUUUGCUUGUGGUGCUUGGUACAACGUCAUGACAAAUGUGGCGGUACGGCAACGUCAUCACGUGAACGACGUGCAUAGUGUCAGCGGUUCAGUGUCUGAGUAACCUUACGGCCCUCGUCUCACCCUCCCAUCGUUAUCGCGAGUUCCUGUCAGAGUCUCGUGGAUUUACCAGAAGCUAUGUACUUCCGUCCUCCAUUCCUUGACAUCACAGCUGCAAAAAGGGUAAAUCACAUAUGGCGAUAAGUUUCCGAUUCUUAGUCGCUUUCACUUCUGUGGAUUACAACAGCAUUCACAUCAGAUCGUCGUUACAAGACCGGCAGGUGAACCACAAAAGCUUCAGGUACCAGACACCUGAGCUGCAGAGUGAACUUUGUGACCGCUCCUCUAGCAGCUGCAGCAGACAGGAAUACAUGAGGUCAGCAGACUCUAAGUCUCAAAACAAGGAAUAAAAACUUGCUGCGCGGAAACUUACGAUCGUCUUUGACUUCUUGUCCAGGCCGAGCUACGAGGCGCAGUGUAAACAACGAGAUGUCGGAAAUGACAAUUCUAGAUGGAUCGGUAAACAAAUCAACAAACGAUGAGUCAACAGCGACUGGACUGAGUGGUAAAGUGAGAAUCAAGACCUGAAGAGCGCAGACCUCUGUCAUCUACCGAGUGUUAUCGGCGAGGAAGACGGGUACCUGAUGAAAGUGAAGAUGUGGUCUGGUCUCAUUCUCAACGUGAGACCCGCUUUGUAUCCAGAAGACACUUGCUCCUAAUGGUUCCAGCACCAGAAGCUGUGCCACCCAAAACUGUUUGAUACUGAAAUGUUGAGACUGGUGACAAGCACCUCAUUGGUGAUCAAAGGGGUUAAAAUAAACAGAUACAAACCCCGGUUGUAAAAUACUUCAGUUUCUCAGAAAGCCUAAAUACCCUUCUAUAAACCCUUUGUCAAACUUUGGUCAAAUAUUCCUUUCAUGUGUGUGUAAUAAAUUUUAUUCCCUUUAAGAAAAAAACAUUCCCUUUUAACCAUUUCCGGAAUCGUUUCUGCCACCCGCCAUCCUCUACCGGCACUUUACAAGCACUGAUGUACAUUCAACCAACAUCCACUUCGAGUAACCAACAUCUGACGGACGGUCUGUCAGCAGUCCAGGGUGUAGGUCAAGGAAUCCCAGCGUCCAAUGCGGGUGUCCUGUGGUGUGUUCUAGCAAAAACCUACUUCCUUGUCUGCGCGCGCAUCAAAGAAGUGAGGUGAGCCGGAAACUGUGAUAUACGGUCUCUGUGCCAAUUGUUUGCUUAGUCAGUCUAACUCAGCCCUCAAAUUCGUGGCGGAGGUAUAGAGAUGUGGAGGCAAGUUCGCGGUUAGGCCAUCACAACAUGAAACUGAACUCGAAGUUGUUAGCGAGAUAAGAACACGGAGCGCUGUUAGUUAAGUUUGAAUUAAAUUAAAUUUAACUUUGAGUAAAGCACACGUGGAUAAUGGACAGGUCUACAUUCUGUCUACUGACGCCAUUAAAGUUGCGGAUAAUUUGAAAACAUUUUUCUGUUGAGACUUUGUCCGAUCAGCAAAAUUUUAAUUUAAAUUUUUUUUUUUUUUCGUUAUUUGUAAAAUCGAUGGAAAUGAGGAUUUCUACAACAGGCAGGUCAGGAUAGUAAAGAAUGUGUUUUUUUUCUCUCCUAUUUUGAGAAUUCAUAUUAAUAAUGACACAAUAUUUUUUUAAAAUAAUGUCACACAUUCUUAGACCUGCUGUUGCUUCAGAUGACCGUCGCAGGUUCCCGGUACCAUGGCAACAGGUUAGCGGCAGCACACCUUGGUCCUGUCACACGCUGCGGCACAUUUUUUGUCUUUUUUUUUUUUUUUUUUCACGGGGUCGGCGGUGAAAAUCCGCGCCUCGACCCCCGCAUACUUUCACACAAACAGAGACCAGUCUCGCGUUGCCAGCCUUUGCCAUUCAGCGCGCAUGCGCGUCUGUUUGGAGGCCUUCCUCCUUACCCGCCCAGCCACCAUGUCUGUUUACCUCCCCUUCCGUGCGUGUUGGCCUCCCUUUGCGCCUCAUCACGCGCGAGUGGGGAGGGGGGAGAUGGAAGAGAGAAAGAGAGAGAAGCAAGUCUGAGUCCAAGGGAGACGAUCUGGACGAAGACGUCACCAAAUAAAUAAAUAAAAUGCGCGGCAGCCGGGUGUCGAAACACGGGCACCAGCUUUGCCUUGGGACUCGGCAAGAGAAAAACAAAGCCAUAAAAAUGUUGAUGACGGGCACCCCUUUCUUAAAGACACCCUGAUUAGAUGUUGUCAGAGGCGUAGCUGAAAAUGUUUAGUGCUAGAGAUCAUGGUCAAGUUGAAUUUUAGACCAACAGAAAAUUAUAAGUAAACAAAAACAAACAAAAAAAUAAAUGGGGGUUGAAACAGAAUUGACCUCUCCCUGGUAUUGGUGAUAUUUGUAGAAAGGUAUCUCAAGAACGAAAGGGGUGGACUAUUAACCCAGAUUUGAGAAAAUAGUGCCUUGCACUAAACUUUACUCCGUCCUGAGAAAAAAAAAA
Long non-coding RNA from Pomacea canaliculata, 2926 nucleotides. RefSeq lists it as uncharacterized. The record is from RefSeq and is a predicted model, not a curated record. NCBI's taxonomy places the organism in Eukaryota, Metazoa, Mollusca, Gastropoda, Architaenioglossa, Ampullariidae. The transcript has 2 exons.